CGAGCCUCGUGCUCUUCUCGAAUUUUCUUCCUUCUCAAUUUUCAUCUCGUGAGUGUAGCAACAUGAAUUAUAGCUUGUCAAGCAAUACAUUUUCUCAGCGUUGAGAAGAUUCUGCUCCAUUUUUUCUGAUUAUGGAUUCUGUUCAGAAGGAAGCCGAAUUUUAAGUCAUCGUUCUAGGAUAGAUUCAGCUCCAUUUUCUCUGGUGGUAGAUCUCCAUGGAUGCUAUUGAGAAGGUACUUCUCAAAGUCCACGAGGACAAGGACAUCUUUCCACCGAAUGCCACCUGGUUUAUAACAAAAGCAUGAAAAACAAACAGGAAUUUCUCAAUGCAGAAAGGACUGAAGCUGUCAAAGGUGUGCUUUUUUUCUGCACAAACAAGUUUCCAUUGAAUGAUAGAAUAAAGAGAUACUGACUUCCCCGGAGCCUCCAAACUUGAGUAGUCAGGCAUUGGGAUCCGUGGAAGGCUUGUUAAAUCCAAAUAGAUUGGUCCUACUCCAUCCGCAGAGUUGCUGACGAGGUGCGUCCAGGCCUUCUCCUCACCUCUCAGGGAGAUAUACCAUGCAGUGCCUUCAGUUAUGGUGUUGUGACUGAGGAUGCUUCGGUCAGACAUGUCCCUGAAAACCUGCAUAGAGCUGCACUUCAAGGGAAGUUAUUGAAUAUGUCCUAUCCAACUAAAACAAGGAAAUGAUGAAAAAAAUAAAAUCACUUUCCAGAGGCCUCAGGGCUAACUGGAGACAGAGCUCAGACUGCAACUGAGAAAAGUUGGACUCCAAAACCUGUACUCUGAGCUUUACUGCAUGAGAAAGUUAUUGAAAUGUGCCUUGUGACAUUCAGAAUAAGUGACUUUUCAGAGGUCUCAGAGUCAGUAAGAGACAGAACUCAGAUUGUAACCAAGAAGAGCUGAACUCCAAACUUCUGUGUCCGGAAUUGGUGGGUUCUUGGUCUCACUGACUUCAAGAAUGAAGCGGCAGACCCUCGCGCAUACCUGCCAUGCAAGAAAUGUGAAAAGUUCUUCGGAGAGAAGGAAAAUUAUAUAGGUCAGAAACUGAGACCUACAUAAGGAAAGAAGAGCAUUGGAUGAAGAAGAAAUAAAUAAAGAUGCAAUGGAUUAAGACUCUUGACUAGAAUAAUCUGAAGCAUUCUGCGUGAAUUUGUGACCAAAGAAACCAAAAAUCAGGCUACCUUUGACAAUGUCAAAUUACAGUGAACUGUGGAGUCGAUUAUACCUCUCAUAUUUCUUUAUUAUGUUAAAUGCUUAAUUAUUUGCUUGAUUCUGUCUUUGUCAUAGUCCUUUAUUACAAUGACGUCUUAUUUAAGUAAAAGAAUUCCAAAUACAUAGAAAACAAAAGCAUUUGUUUUAUUUCAAAAUAAUGAAGAAACAUAAUAGGUUAUACAACUUUUCAAGAGACCAUUAUGCUGUUAAAUCAUUUAUAUAUCUUCUCUUUAUUUGGACUCAGAAAAUAUGGACAUUAUAAUGCAAAAAGUUACUGAAAAAUCAAUGUCAGCAUCAUCUGAACUCUUUUCCCCUAAUCUAAUCUAGGCAUUUGGAUUACCCAUUUCUAAGCACAUCAGUGGUUUUUGAAUGUCAGUAGCACCCUGCUUAAUCAAUAAGCCUUUAUUUGGCUCAAUGAACUGCUGAUACGUACUUUUACAUAUUCAAAAUCUGUCCCUCAGUAUGGAUACUAACUAGAUCUUUUUUGAAUGAGAAGGUCAGGUCAGGCUCCCCCUUGGCAAUGAUACCAGCUCCCUCAGAUUCUCAUUAAUGGAACCAUGUGCUCACUGAACAAAGAAUGCUUACAGAAAAAAAAAAGAAUAUUGACGUCAGUGUAUAUUAUAUUCCUUAAAAAUAUUUAUAAACGAGCAUUCGUUAUAGAAGCAAGGAACAUGACAGCUUAUUGAUUAUGCAAAUAUGUUCCUUGUACGCUUUUAAAAUAAAUCAAUUAGUGCAAGAGUUGGCAAAGUCUUCCUUAAAGGGCAAGAUUAUUAAAAUAUUAGGCUUUGCUGGCCAUUUGGUCUGUCACAACUAAUUAACUCUGCUGUCGUAAUGGGAAAACAGCCACAGACAAUAUGUGAAAUAAUGGAUGUGGCUGUAUUUCAAUAAAACUUUGUUUAGAGAAACAGGUGGUGGGACAGUGUGUUGAUCCCUGAACUAAUGGGAUAAAAUAUAACUUAAAUAUAAUAUGCAUGUAUGUACAUAUGUUUCUGUUUACAAAAUAGAAUUGAGUGUCUCUUUCAGCUAAUUGAGCACCAUAAUGUAAACCUACAAGAGGUACGAGAGAAUUUCGUAUAUGUAUUUGAAGUCUUGACACUGCUAAAUCUUUUGUUUGUAAUUGGCAUGCCAUGUUGGAAGACAUAAUAGAGAAACUGUCUAUCCAUGCGUCCUUUACUUAAGAAAACUAAACUCUUCUCUGAAGUUAUGUGGUAUAGAUUUUUCCUAAAGGAAGCCAACCAGUUGAAAGAUCAAGCUAUGCAUUAACUCAUCACACUUUAAAUAAGUAAAUAAAUAAAUAACUCACCUAGUUCAUUGUUUGGAUGGUUUAUUGGAUGUGAGAUACUUCAUACUGUCCUGACACAGAGUUUAUUACCUAUGUAAGAGAAGGCACAUAUGGUUAGGUUUCAAGAGAUAUUCUAAUUGUUUCCUGUGGUGAUGUUUGAACUCUACAGUCAAAUUCAGAUGCAUUUAAUUUGGUAAGGUAGACAAUUGGUUAAAUGUUUGGUGUCAAAGUAAGAAAUACAUAGUGAAUUGAUGGAGAGGAAUGUUCUUAAAGUGGUCUAUACAGAUUGACCCUAAAAUCAACCUCACCUUUAUAUCAACCUCGUCUUUGAAAAGAUUGCAGCCCCAAGGACUUUGAUUAUUUUUCUUCAUGACCUCUCUGGGUACCUGAUAAUAGGAAUAGACACACGAAAAAAAACCUGAUAAUGUUACUCUGGUGUAAUCACAACUACUUCUGCUCUAUUAAAACUACCAUGCGAUAUGACCACUUUUACAGUCAUUUGUUAACUUUCUCUUUUAUCAUCAAAGUUGUACUGCACAUACUCAAAACUGACAGCUACAAUAGAGUGGCCCAUAUAUUCUCUGAGAUCAAGACAGAAACAUUACUCAUCAAAUUCUAAUCUAGUGUCACAUAGGAGAAAUACAACUAGCCAGUGAGACUCUCACUGCUAUCUGGCUCACAGAAACAGAUAGAGCAACUUCUCAUCUAUUAUUGAAGCAUUGCAGAAAUUGUGGUGCAGUGUAUGUGCCUACACUAUAAAGUAGCUAGGCUUGCACUUUUUAUGUGUGUUUGGCCAUAUAAUUCAUCUGGGCCUAGUAUCAACUCAGGACAUGGAUAUACUUUUUAAAGUAAUUGAGUAAUGUAUAUCUUUAAAAGCAAUCUCGUUAGAGCUUUAGGACAUUUCUAACAAAGCAAUGAAAUGUAGAGAUCUUAAUACAUUUCUAUGACUAUGAAUGUAAAUAAUAUAUGUUAUUUAAUAUUUUUCACAUGAAAAGAAAAUACUAACCCAGAAUGAAAAUGUAUCAAUAAUCCUGAGUAAAUUAAUCUAACAACAAUGAAUGUUUUGUGGUGCAUAUUUGGCAAAGCCUUCAAAUUUGUCAGACCUUUACAAAUCAUUUUCUUAUGUAGAGUCAUUGCUGUGUUUUGUAAUAAAUUUUGAAAACUGGCUUUAUGGAAUAAAAUAAAAAGCAAAUUUAUUAACUUUUUUGUAAAAGCUUUUCAAUGGUUUCACUAACUAUUUAAAAACAAAAAUAAAUAACCUUUGAGAUUGCUAUAUCAUUGAGAUUAUUUUAAAAGUCUCUUGAAAGUACUUAUACCUUAUUUGGUAUUAUAAAGAGGUUUCUAUAAAAAGUUACUUGUAUUUUGUGUCCCAAAUAAUUCAACAACAUAUUUAUUCAUUCUGCAAACAAACGAUAGCUGUUCCCUAAAGCAAUAUUUAUUAGAAAACUUAGGAAACCUGAGCAAAAUAUUGACUGAAGACAAACACAUUUAUAAUCAAUUAAAGAUAAAAAAGUUAACUUUUUACAAGAUGGACUAAAGAUUUAAAUGUAAGACCUCAAACUAUAAAAAUCUGAGAAGAAAACUGAGUAAAUACCCUUCUCGGUGUGAGCUUUGGCAAAAAAAAAAAAAAAAAAAAUUAUGGCUAAGAACCCAAAAGCAAUUGAAACAAAACCAAAAAUUGACAAGGGAGCCUAAUUCAACUAAAGAGCUUCAGCAUAGCAAAAAGAAUUAUGAACAGAAUAAACAGGCAGCCUACAGAAUGGGAGAAAAUGUUUCCAAGCUAUACAUCCAACAAAGGUCUAAUAGAGCCUAGAAGGAACUUAACAAGCAAAAAACAAUCCAAUUAAAAUGUGGUCAAAGGACAUGAACAGACACUUCUCAAAAUAAGACAUGCAGGUGGCCAACAAACAUGAAAAAAUGCUCAUGAACACUAAUCAUCAGAGAAAUACAAAUUAAAACCAAAAUAGAAUACCAUCUCACACCGGUCAGAAUGGCUAUUACCAAAAAGUCAAAAAAUAACAGAUGCUGGCAAAACUGCAGAGAAAAGGGAAUGCUUACACACUGUUUGUGGGAAUGCAAAUUGGUUCAACCACUGUGGAAAGCAGUUUGGAGAUUCCUCAAAGAUUUGAAAACAGACCUACCACUCGACACAGCAAUCCCAUUACUGGAUAUAUACUCAAAGGAAAAUACAUCUCUCAACCAAAAACAAACAUUCACUCAUAUGUCUUUGUCAGUGCUAUUCACAAUAGCAAAGACGCAGAAACAAUAUAGGGACCCAACAAUGGUGGACUGGAUUUUAAAAAUGUAGUACAUAUACACCAUGAAAUACUGUGUAGCCAUACAAAGAAUGAAAUAAUCUAUUUUGCAGCAACAUGGAGGCAACUGGAGGCCAUUAUCUUAAGAAAAUUAACUCAGGAACAGAAAAUUAAAUGCUAUAUGUUCUGAUAUAUAAAUGGAAGGUAAACAUUGAGUACAUGUGGACUUAAAGAUGGGAGCAAUAGAAACUAAGGACUACUAGAUAGGAGAAGGAGGGAGGUGAAUGGGCUGAAAAACAACCUAUUGGGUACUGUCUGGGUGGGAUCAUGUGUACCCCAAACUUCAGCAUCACACAGUAUACACAUAUACACACAUAUAUACACACAUAUGUAUAUACACAUAUAUGUAAUAUAUCAAUACACAUAUAUGUAAAUGUAUGUGUAUAUAUGUAAAUAUGUAAAUAUAUGUAUAUAUGUGUGUGUAAAUAUAUGUAUACAUGUAUAUGUGUGUAAAUAUAUGUAUGUAUACAUAUAUGUAUAUGUGUGAAUAUGUAUGUGUAUAUGUAAAUAUAUGUAUAUAUACAUAUGUAUACAUGUAAAUGUAUGUGUGUACGUGCAUAUGUAAACACACAUAUGCAUAUAUGUAAAUAUAUGCAUAUGUAAAUACAUAAAUGCAUAUUUAUGUAAAUACAUGUAAAUAUGCAAACACACAGAUGCAUGUUUAUGUAAAUAUAUGUAAAUACAUAAUGUGCAAAGCGCAUGUAUAUGUAAAUAUAUGUAAAUAUGCAUAUAUGUAAAUGUGCAUGUAUACACAUGUAUGCAUGUAAAUGUGUAUGGCUAUAAACAUACGCAUAUAUGUAAAUAUAUACGUAUAUGUAAAUAUAUGUAAAUAUAUUUACAUAUAUACAUAUUCACGUUAUGCAUAUAUGUAAAUAUAUUUACAUAUACACAUACAUAUUCACACAUAUACAUAUAUGUAUACAUACAUAUAUUUACACACAUAUACAUGUAUACAUAUAUUUACACACACAUAUACAUAUACAUUUACAUAUAUGUAAAUUGAUAUAUUACAUAUACGUAUAUGUAUAUAUUUACAUAUCUGUAUAUAGAUGUAUUUACAUAUGCAUAUAUGUAUAUAUUUACAUAUAUUUACAUGUAUACAUAUAUGCAUAUAUAUAUAAAUAUAAAUACAAACCUGUCCAUGUACCCUCUAAAUCCAAAAUAAAAGUGGGGUAAAAAGGCUUAACUUUUCACAGAUUAUCUUCAAAGUGACCACUAAUGGAUAUACUUCCACACACAGAAAAAUAAACCCAGAAAGAGGAAAUUGAAUGAAAGAAGAAAUGACGAAAGAGAAAAUGGUUAAAUCUAAACAAGUUGUGAGGCUGGCACGGUGUCUCACGCCUGUAAUCCCAUCACUUUGGGAGGCCGAGGUGGGAAGAUCUCUUGAGACCAGGAGUUUCAGUCCAGUCUGGCCAACAUGGUGACACUCUGUCUAUACUAAAAAUACAAAAAUUAGCCGAGUGUGGUGGUGUGUGCCUGUAGUCCCAGUUACUUGGGAGGCUGAGGCAGGAGACUCACUUGAACCCAGGAAGUGGUGGUUACAGUGAGCCAAGAUUGCACCACUGCGCUCCAGCCUGGGCGACAGAGUGAGACUCUGUCCCAAAAAUAAAUAAAUAAAUAAAUAAAUAAAUAAAUAAAUAAAUAAAUGUAAACAUGUGAGAUUUUAAAAUAUUGUAGUAAAGUUUGGAAUUGUUUAAAAGCAAAACUUAAUGAAAAGACUAGGAAAAAUAGAGGGAUGAAUGGUAGACGAUAUUUGAAUAAAUUCUGUCAUGUAAGGGAUGAGAAAAAUCAUGGGCGCACUCUAAAUUUGUGAAUUAAAUAUAAAAUUAAUAUGGAUGUUUAAUGUUAAGGACCUCGAUUAAAACGGAAUAAUAGAAUGCGGGAAGAAAAUUAAUAUGAAACCAAAGCAUGACAAUUUUUUAAAAUAGUAAAAUAAAUACAUAUAUUAUAAAAUGAGAAUUAUAAAUUGAUUAAAUUCAUUCAUUAGAAGACAUUAAGAAACUAGAGUCUUGAAAAUUAGAUGUGUGUGGCUUAUUAAGAGAAACCCCAAAAGCAAACUGACAGAUACAUUUGAAUCAUCAGGGUUGGAAGGCAAUAUGUAUCUGACAAACUAAACAAAUAGAAGAUAAUAAGAUAAUAUGUAAUAUUACAUAAAAUACAAUUUCACAUGCCAAGAAUCCAUAAUAAUAAAACUAAUGAUAACUAUAAUAUAAUAAGAGCCAACAUUUAUGAUAAAUACAUGGCAAUUAUAAAUUUGUACAAAGCUAAGAGCUUAUCUUCAAAAUAUAUAACAUGAAAUAGCAUUAAAAAAGUAUAAUAAAAACAAAAAAAAUUAAAAAAUGAAAUUUUAAAUGUGUUACCCUAUUUGAAGGUUUUAAGAAAGUUUUCUUAGAAUAUAAUAUAUUGUACAUAAAUAAGCAUAAAUAUAGG
Molecule: long non-coding RNA, 7240 nt
Filed under: Homo sapiens (human)
Lineage: Eukaryota; Metazoa; Chordata; Mammalia; Primates; Hominidae
Description: HSALNT0281089
Source: RNAcentral